UGGGGAAUUUUGGACAAUGGGGGCAACCCUGAUCCAGCCAUGCCGCGUGCGGGAAGAAGGCCUUCGGGUUGUAAACCGCUUUUGUCCGGGAAGAAAAGAUCUCUCCUAAUACGGGAGGUUCUUGACGGUACUGGAAGAAUAAGCACCGGCAACUACGUGCCAGCAGCCGCGGUAAUACGUAGGGUGCGAGCGUUAAUCGGAAUUACUGGGCGUAAAGCGUGCGCAGGCGGUUCGCUAAGUCUGAUGUGAAAGCCCCGGGCUCAACCUGGGAAUGGCAUUGGAAACUGGCGAGCUUGAGUGUGGCAGAGGGGGGUGGAAUUCCACGUGUAGCAGUGAAAUGCGUAGAGAUGUGGAGGAACACCGAUGGCGAAGGCAGCCCCCUGGGCUAACACUGACGCUCAGGCACGAAAGCGUGGGGAGCAAACAGGAUUAGAUACCCUGGUAGUCCACGCCCUAAACUAUGUCAACUGGGUGUUGGGGAAGCGAUUCCUCAGUACCGUAGCUAACGCGUGAAGUUGACCGCCUGGGGAGUACGGCCGCAAGGUUA
RNAcentral lists this ribosomal RNA (547 nucleotides) under uncultured bacterium. RNAcentral's name for it is "bacterial SSU rRNA". It matches the Rfam family "Bacterial small subunit ribosomal RNA", at positions 355 to 896 of the family's 1533-position model. The record is from RNAcentral.